GGGUUGUGAGGUUAAGCGACUAAGCGUACACGGUGGAUGCCUAGGCAGUCAGAGGCGAUGAAGGGCGUGCUAAUCUGCGAAAAGCGUCGGUAAGCUGAUAUGAAGCGUUAUAACCGACGAUACCCGAAUGGGGAAACCCAGUGCAAUACGUUGCACUAUCGUUAGAUGAAUACAUAGUCUAACGAGGCGAACCGGGGGAACUGAAACAUCUAAGUACCCCGAGGAAAAGAAAUCAACCGAGAUUCCCCCAGUAGCGGCGAGCGAACGGGGAGGAGCCCAGAGUCUGAAUCAGUUUGUGUGUUAGUGGAAGCGUCUGGAAAGUCGCACGGUACAGGGUGAUAGUCCCGUACACCAAAAUGCACAGGCUGUGAACUCGAUGAGUAGGGCGGGACACGUGACAUCCUGUCUGAAUAUGGGGGGACCAUCCUCCAAGGCUAAAUACUCCUGACUGACCGAUAGUGAACCAGUACCGUGAGGGAAAGGCGAAAAGAACCCCGGCGAGGGGAGUGAAAUAGAACCUGAAACCGUGUACGUACAAGCAGUGGGAGCACCUUCGUGGUGUGACUGCGUACCUUUUGUAUAAUGGGUCAGCGACUUAUAUUUUGUAGCAAGGUUAACCG
This 620-nucleotide ribosomal RNA is filed under the name Yersinia pestis. Its description in RNAcentral is "bacterial LSU rRNA". It matches the Rfam family "Bacterial large subunit ribosomal RNA", at positions 1 to 652 of the family's 2925-position model. The record is from RNAcentral. Lineage: Bacteria; Pseudomonadati; Pseudomonadota; Gammaproteobacteria; Enterobacterales; Yersiniaceae.